CCUAAUCACCUCCACAGCCGCCAUUUCAGCUCUCCGUCUUCAAUCUUCCCCACUCUUUGCGUUGGACCUCCCUUAUUGUUUACUCAUCGAUCGAUUAUGUGUUGAUUAGGAAUUCAAUCUUAUGUGAUCUCGGAGUCAAGACCUAUACCCUUGCACUGAAUCAAAACAUAUGGUUUGUCAUUUAUAGGUAAAUACGAGAACUGAUUCAGGGCUGUUUGGGAUUGCUUAUUGAUCGGUUUGACUUUUGGGUGUUUAUUUUUCAGAAUCAAAUUGUGCUUAAAAUUAGGUUUAAGAAAAAGUGAGAUGUUACUAGAGAGGAUAGGAGUUUUUGCUGGUUCAGAUCUGAUUAAAGCUGCUGAUCAUCUCUUAAAGUGUUGUUCUUAUUCAAUAAUCAUUUAAAAAUAUCUAUCAUUUUGUUAAUUAGGGUUUGAAGUUCUGAAUAUGGUGGUUAUGUGC
This is a long non-coding RNA of Helianthus annuus (common sunflower), 456 nucleotides long. RefSeq lists it as uncharacterized. The transcript is spliced from 2 exons. The record is from RefSeq and is a predicted model, not a curated record. NCBI's taxonomy places the organism in Eukaryota, Viridiplantae, Streptophyta, Magnoliopsida, Asterales, Asteraceae.